This 350-nucleotide long non-coding RNA is filed under the name Homo sapiens (human). RNAcentral describes it as "HSALNT0049570". Lineage: Eukaryota; Metazoa; Chordata; Mammalia; Primates; Hominidae. The record is from RNAcentral.
GACUGAGUGUAAGGUGCCAUGUCAGGCAUGGGGGUGUUGAGAUGAGGAAGGCCGACCUAGUGCAGUUGGACUGAGUGUCAGGUGCCAUGUCAGGCAUGGGGGCGUUGAGAUGAGGAAGGCCGACCUAGUGCAGAUGGACUGAGUGUCAGGUGCCAUGUCAGGCAUGGGGGCGUUGAGAUGAGGAAGGCCGACCUAGUGCAGAUGGACUGAGUGUCAGGUGCCAUGUCUGGCAUGGAGGCGUUGAGAUAAGGAAGGCUGACCUAGUGUAGAUGGACUGAAUGUCAGGUGCCAUGUCAGGCAUGGGGGCAUUGAGAUGAGGAAGGCCAACCUAGCGCAGAUGGAGAGAACCA